Molecule: microRNA, 22 nt
Filed under: Ornithorhynchus anatinus (platypus)
Lineage: Eukaryota; Metazoa; Chordata; Mammalia; Monotremata; Ornithorhynchidae
Description: oan-miR-1421e-5p
Source: miRBase by way of RNAcentral
GAGAGGUCACGUCUCAUGCCGU